GGUAAUUCCUCCGGUUAACGAGGACCGGUUCUGAUACUGGUAAAAUUGGUCUUGUUCUGCCAGUUCGGUCCGGUUGCCAGCUUUAGUUCUCACAGGUGCAUCUGUGCUGGAAUCGGCGAGCCGCUGAUCAAUCAUUGUACCAUGCCAAUUGCAGCGCCGGUACUGAGGCAACUUUGCUUCUUUCAGGCUAGCAUUUAGCUGGCGAGAUGCCUCCUGUGGGAUUCCAGUUCCUUUCACUGGCAGUAGCUUCAGCAGGGGAACAAGCACCAAGCGGACGUCGGAUGAAGGUAAUGCAAGCGCUUGGUUUGAUGGCUCCUCCUGGAUCACCAUUUCAUUCAAAGUAAUGCGUCUGUAGUCCAUCUGCUGAUAAUGCUAUGAAAUAAAACUCUCACGAGGCAUAGUAUUGCUGGUACUAACAGCUAGAUAUAAUAUUAAAUGUUCCAGGAAAGUUUUCGUCCAAAAGUAAUGUGUCUCAAUGAUCAGUUGUCUGUAGUCUACUUGUUGAUGAUGCUUGAAGUAAAUAUGUACGACUGAUUUGUCAAUCACAAUUAUGUUUGGGAUUGAGAUAGUGAUUAUUGUUGAUGCUAACAUCUGGAAUAUGACAUAUACAGUAUUCUGAGAUAGUUUUAAUCUCAAGUGACAUUCUGGUGACUGA
This is a long non-coding RNA of Solanum tuberosum (potato), 655 nucleotides long. RefSeq lists it as uncharacterized. The record is from RefSeq and is a predicted model, not a curated record. NCBI's taxonomy places the organism in Eukaryota, Viridiplantae, Streptophyta, Magnoliopsida, Solanales, Solanaceae. The transcript has 2 exons.